CCCACACUCCAUCUUCUUCACUUUUCACUCACUCUUUAAAUCCCCAACACCAUUUUCUCUCUUCCCCUCUCUAUAACCACGAAAAUUUUUCAAAAAAUGAAGCCAAAAACACACCUUAAACUUUAAAUCUUCAUCAUCUAGGGUUGAUCUUCAAGGAAUCGAUAGUGGUACAAGUGGAUCGUAGUUGAAGGCACCAUUUGCAUCAUCUCAAUGCAUAUUGAAUCAUCGAGUAAGUGGCACUAAGGGAAACUUCACUGUUAGGAGCAUUCGCAUGUGUUGUAUUCAAAUUUUCAUUGUAAUUUCUUUUAAAAGUUUUUCAAACCCAUUGUAAAUUCGUAAUGAUUUUUAAUACUAUGGUUGGUGUUGUCUUUUAA
This is a long non-coding RNA of Lactuca sativa (garden lettuce), 374 nucleotides long. RefSeq lists it as uncharacterized. The record is from RefSeq and is a predicted model, not a curated record. NCBI's taxonomy places the organism in Eukaryota, Viridiplantae, Streptophyta, Magnoliopsida, Asterales, Asteraceae.